GACGAACGCUGGCGGCGUGCUUAACACAUGCAAGUCGAACGGAAAGGCCCUGCUUUUGUGGGGUGCUCGAGUGGCGAACGGGUGAGUAACACGUGAGUAACCUGCCCUUGACUUUGGGAUAACUUCAGGAAACUGGGGCUAAUACCGGAUAGGAGCUCCUGCUGCAUGGUGGGGGUUGGAAAGUUUCGGCGGUUGGGGAUGGACUCGCGGCUUAUCAGCUUGUUGGUGGGGUAGCGGCUUACCAAGGCUUUGACGGGUAGCCGGCCUGAGAGGGUGACCGGCCACAUUGGGACUGAGAUACGGCCCAGACUCCUACGGGGGGCAGCAGUGGGGAAUAUUGCACAAUGGGCGGAAGCCUGAUGCAGCAACGCCGCGUGCGGGAUGACGGCCUUCGGGUUGUAAACCGCUUUCGCCUGUGACGAAGCGUGAGUGACGGUAAUGGGUAAAGAAGCACCGGCUAACUACGU
Molecule: ribosomal RNA, 467 nt
Filed under: uncultured bacterium
Lineage: Bacteria
Description: partial 16S ribosomal RNA
Rfam family: Bacterial small subunit ribosomal RNA
Source: RNAcentral